RNAcentral lists this transfer RNA (69 nucleotides) under Rattus norvegicus (Norway rat). It matches the Rfam family "tRNA". Rfam says of the family: Transfer RNA (tRNA) molecules are approximately 80 nucleotides in length. Their secondary structure includes four short double-helical elements and three loops (D, anti-codon, and T loops). Further hydrogen bonds mediate the characteristic L-shaped molecular structure. tRNAs have two regions of fundamental functional importance: the anti-codon, which is responsible for specific mRNA codon recognition, and the 3' end, to which the tRNAs corresponding amino acid is attached (by aminoacyl-tRNA synthetases). tRNAs cope with the degeneracy of the genetic code in two manners: having more than one tRNA (with a specific anti-codon) for a particular amino acid; and 'wobble' base-pairing, i.e. permitting non-standard base-pairing at the 3rd anti-codon position. Lineage: Eukaryota; Metazoa; Chordata; Mammalia; Rodentia; Muridae. The record is from Rfam by way of RNAcentral.
GCAGCUAGCUCAGUGGUAGAGCAUGAGACUCUUAAUCUCAUAUUCAUGGGUUCUUGCCCACGUUGGGCA